AUACUCUCAAUAGCUAGCCCCUAAUCAAAAACAACAAACAACAUUAAUAACCCCUCAUAAACUGAAGCAAGUAAAACAAAUCAUUUUUCCUCCUUAGUAUGGGUGACAGAAAAG
This 114-nucleotide ribosomal RNA is filed under the name Chaenogobius gulosus. Its description in RNAcentral is "partial 16S ribosomal RNA". Lineage: Eukaryota; Metazoa; Chordata; Actinopteri; Gobiiformes; Gobiidae. The record is from RNAcentral.